CUCUCCAGGCAAUGGGCAAAGCCACACCUUGACUGGGAUGUUGUUCUUAUCUCAGUCAGGAGCAGAGCAGAUGGCAGUCCUUUGUUCAUCCUAGUUUGAUGUCUGACUUGAGGGCCAAGGCUAUCUUAUGCCUGGGACUCAUAA
Small nucleolar RNA from Rattus norvegicus (Norway rat), 144 nucleotides. Ensembl annotates it as small nucleolar RNA SNORA48. NCBI's taxonomy places the organism in Eukaryota, Metazoa, Chordata, Mammalia, Rodentia, Muridae. The record is from Ensembl.